Molecule: long non-coding RNA, 2497 nt
Organism: Triticum dicoccoides
Lineage: Eukaryota; Viridiplantae; Streptophyta; Magnoliopsida; Poales; Poaceae
Exons: 2
Source: RefSeq, a predicted model, not a curated record
ACAAGCGCGCGAUGUUUCAUCCCAAAAGCGACGCAAACUCGGGCCGCAGAUGGGUAGAAAGCGGACAGAAAAUGGACAAAAGUCUAUUUGCUCAUGCGCGCUGGGCCGUCUGGUUCGUUCCUUUUACCUCAAACUGACGCAUCCGGACAGGAUGAGGUCGCGCGGUGGAGUUAGCCUUACGUCCCGUGCCGCCCACAUGUGGAUGCCACUCUCUUGACCUGUGGCUUCUAGCAAAUUCACUGGAAUUUUCCGUCAUUUGACCCGCCAAAAUGAAAUCGGUUUGGUAAACCUGCGGGGUUUUCUCGAAAUUUUUACUGUUCUAUCCUCAAAAUCUUUUUUCUGAGACAACUUUAUUUCCUCUGUCUUAGCACGGCUGGUUUCCAGAACCAUGCCAAAAAUAAAGACGUGCCUACCGAUGGUCUCCAACUCCAUGCCUAAACGUAGGAGCAGGUCCGAUGCUCCGAUCAAGCAGUCCGUCCAUGCAUGACCUCGUGGGUCGCCAGUCUGAUCACGACAGGAGUGGCUCGAUCCAUGUGGUUUUGGCUGCAAAGAGGAGGGUGCGACGAUGCUGUGUGGAGAACAUUGACAGGUCUUGAGGUCUGCAUGGCCAUGGCGUAAGAGGACGCAAAGCUAGUGAUCGUCGGUUGCUAAUGGGAAGACCGGUUGAGGAGUCCCUGUCAAGCUCCGUCAGUGCCUCUGCCUGGAGAAAUUCCCGUAUCUAUCUUCUGUCGCGCUAGGCUCUUCCUUUGCAUAUAAUCAUUAGAUACACACGGCAAUGUGCAGGUCAGUCGGUUACGUUUCUUGAUGUUUCUUAGAAUGUUUGAUUAACAAACCUCCACAGUCGCUGAAAGUAUGCCCGCUCUGCCAUGGACGGCUAAGAUCUGCUCGUGCGGCCCCGCUUGCAUUCAUGCCUGCGUUUCAACGGGCAAAUGCUUCUGCACUUUUUAAGCAAUGAUGGAACCUAGAGGUAAUGUUUGAUUAACAGUGUUUUAUAUCCGCCUGGGUCAUCCUAUGUAUGUACCCUGGACCAGUACUCAAGUCUGCUCAUGCAAGUAUGCAAGCCCUAUGUAAUGGUCGAGGAAUAAUGCAGAGCAGUCAGCCUUUGGUCUCCAACUCUGCAUGCUAUUCUAGUAUGCUACCGUCAUGUGGUUCUUCUUCUUCGUAGGCUUCUCGUAUUGUCUGCACGUCCGAUGCUCGGAUCAAUACGUACAUGCAUGACCUCCUCACCAGGAUACCUGCUGGCUUGUCAGUUGUCACCGGUCUGAUCAGGACAGUAGUGGCUUUCACUUGGAUCCAUGUGAUUUUGGCUGCAAAGAGGAGGGUGCGACCCUGCGAGGCUCAUUGACAGGGCGUGGGGGUCUGCAUGGCGUAAGAGACCGCAAAGCUGGUGCUCUUUUUUUGGUUACUAAUGGGAGGACCGGUUGACGAGUCCCUGUCAACCACCGUCAGUGCCCCCGCCUGGAGGAAUUCAUGUAGGUUCUUCCGUUGCAUGAUCACUAGAUAAGGCGAUGUUGAUGGAGCAAUGAGUGAGCAUUAUGAUCGGCUCUACUUCCGUGGGAAGUGGUAACUGUAUCUUUCUUCUUGCUCUCGAGAUGGCGUGUAUGUGGAGGGAGUUACCUACUAACCUCUACAGUCGCUAGAGGUUUCUCUGCUCGUGCGGGCGUGCUCGAGGCCGGCACAGUGCUCCGGUCGGAGGCGCGGCGCGGAUCUGGCGGAUGUGCGCUCCGGAUCUGCAGUGGUUGCAUGGGCGAUGGUGAUCUGCCUUUCGUGUUUUAGUUUUGGCCAUGUUAAAUGUUGGCCCUUGAUUAGACUAGGUGGGCUCUCUCCGGCAAGGUGGUAGUCGGUGGUGGAACCACCGUCGGUGUUGGUCAUGGUGGUGACCACUGCGACCUGCGGGCGGCAACCUCGUUGGAGAUUGUGGUGCCUAUUGAAAGUUUUUUGUGAGGGUUUCUCUUUCCAGAUUCGGUGAUUGACUUCAGCGGUGAGAUGCAAACUAUGAACAACGACUUUGACACAAAAGGGUGGUUGCGUAGCGGGGGUGAUCGGAUCGCAUAUAGCCGCUGGUAUUGUGGAAAAGUGGUGGCGACAACACGCACUGUUUGGAUAUGCUCGCACUGGUUCUUCAGGGUGAAGACCUAGAUUCUGGCCUUGGUGGUUGGAUCCGAUGACGGCUACGCAUGAACGCCGUUCCCUUCCUGAAGGCGUUGUUAUUGAAGAACCUUAUCGUUUGUGUGUUGUCAUGAUAUAGUUGAUGUGGAUAUGGUCCUUAUUAUAGUCUGCCGAUCACAAAUCUGAUCACUUUAGGGUUUUUUUUCCUUGCCUACGCAUAGCUUUGGUCUUAUAUGACAUUGCUAUUUGCCGACGUAUUUUUUGUGUGCGUGCGUUGGUGUUGGCUAUGCGCAUUCUAGUUACACAAAGGCCGGGUGUAUACUCAUUGUAUUUGUAUUCUCUUGAUGCUUUAUUUUGAGCCAAUAAAAUUUAUCCUUCAUCGAAAAAA